GGGUUGUGAGGUUAAGCGACUAAGCGUACACGGUGGAUGCCCUGGCAGUCAGAGGCGAUGAAGGACGUGCUAAUCUGCGAAAAGCGUCGGUAAGGUGAUAUGAACCGUUAUAACCGGCGAUGUCCGAAUGGGGAAACCCAGUGCAAUUCGUUGCACUAUCGUUAACUGAAUACAUAGGUUAACGAGGCGAACCGGGGGAACUGAAACAUCUAAGUACCCCGAGGAAAAGAAAUCAACCGAGAUUCCCCCAGUAGCGGCGAGCGAACGGGGAGCAGCCCAGAGUCUGAAUCAGCUUGUGUGUUAGUGGAACGGUCUGGAAAGUCCGACGGUACAGGGUGAUAGUCCCGUACACCAAAAUGCACAGGCUGUGAACUCGAAGAGUAGGGCGGGACACGUGGUAUCCUGUCUGAAUAUGGGGGGACCAUCCUCCAAGGCUAAAUACUCCUGACUGACCGAUAGUGAACCAGUACCGUGAGGGAAAGGCGAAAAGAACCCCGGCGAGGGGAGUGAAAAAGAACCUGAAACCGUGUACGUACAAGCAGUGGGAGCACCUUCGGGUGUGACUGCGUACCUUUUGUAUAAUGGGUCAGCGACUUAUAUUCUGUAGCAAGGUUAACCGUAUAGGGGAGCCGCAGGGAAACCGAGUCUUAACUGGGCGUUAAGUUGCAGGGUAUAGACCCGAAACCCGGUGAUCUAGCCAUGGGCAGGUUGAAGGUUGGGUAACACUAACUGGAGGACCGAACCGACUAAUGUUGAAAAAUUAGCGGAUGACUUGUGGCUGGGGGUGAAAGGCCAAUCAAACCGGGAGAUAGCUGGUUCUCCCCGAAAGCUAUUUAGGUAGCGCCUCGUGAAUUCAUCUUCGGGGGUAGAGCACUGUUUCGGCUAGGGGGUCAUCCCGACUUACCAACCCGAUGCAAACUACGAAUACCGAAGAAUGUUAUCACGGGAGACACACGGCGGGUGCUAACGUCCGUCGUGAAGAGGGAAACAACCCAGACCGCCAGCUAAGGUCCCAAAGUCAUGGUUAAGUGGGAAACGAUGUGGGAAGGCACAGACAGCCAGGAUGUUGGCUUAGAAGCAGCCAUCAUUUAAAGAAAGCGUAAUAGCUCACUGGUCGAGUCGGCCUGCGCGGAAGAUGUAACGGGGCUAAACCAUGCACCGAAGCUGCGGCAGCGACACUAUGUGUUGUUGGGUAGGGGAGCGUUCUGUAAGCCUGCGAAGGUGACCUGUGAGGGUUGCUGGAGGUAUCAGAAGUGCGAAUGCUGACAUAAGUAACGAUAAAGCGGGUGAAAAGCCCGCUCGCCGGAAGACCAAGGGUUCCUGUCCAACGUUAAUCGGGGCAGGGUGAGUCGACCCCUAAGGCGAGGCCGAAAGGCGUAGUCGAUGGGAAACAGGUUAAUAUUCCUGUACUUGGUGUUACUGCGAAGGGGGGACGGAGAAGGCUAUGUUAGCCGGGCGACGGUUGUCCCGGUUUAAGCAUGUAGGCUGGUUGUCCAGGCAAAUCCGGAUAAUCAAGGCUGAGGUGUGAUGACGAGGCACUACGGUGCUGAAGUAACAAAUGCCCUGCUUCCAGGAAAAGCCUCUAAGCAUCAGGUAACAUCAAAUCGUACCCCAAACCGACACAGGUGGUCAGGUAGAGAAUACCAAGGCGCUUGAGAGAACUCGGGUGAAGGAACUAGGCAAAAUGGUGCCGUAACUUCGGGAGAAGGCACGCUGGUGUGUAGGUGAAGUCCCUGCGGAUGGAGCUGAGACCAGUCGAAGAUACCAGCUGGCUGCAACUGUUUAUUAAAAACACAGCACUGUGCAAACACGAAAGUGGACGUAUACGGUGUGACGCCUGCCCGGUGCCGGAAGGUUAAUUGAUGGGGUUAUCCGUAAGGAGAAGCUCUUGAUCGAAGCCCCGGUAAACGGCGGCCGUAACUAUAACGGUCCUAAGGUAGCGAAAUUCCUUGUCGGGUAAGUUCCGACCUGCACGAAUGGCGUAAUGAUGGCCAGGCUGUCUCCACCCGAGACUCAGUGAAAUUGAACUCGCUGUGAAGAUGCAGUGUACCCGCGGCAAGACGGAAAGACCCCGUGAACCUUUACUAUAGCUUGACACUGAACAUUGAGCCUUGAUGUGUAGGAUAGGUGGGAGGCUUUGAAGCGUGGACGCCAGUCUGCGUGGAGCCAACCUUGAAAUACCACCCUUUAAUGUUUGAUGUUCUAACGUUGGCCCCUUACCGGGGUUGCGGACAGUGUCUGGUGGGUAGUUUGACUGGGGCGGUCUCCUCCCAAAGCGUAACGGAGGAGCACGAAGGUUAGCUAAUCCUGGUCGGACAUCAGGAGGUUAGUGCAAUGGCAUAAGCUAGCUUGACUGCGAGCGUGACGGCGCGAGCAGGUGCGAAAGCAGGUCAUAGUGAUCCGGUGGUUCUGAAUGGAAGGGCCAUCGCUCAACGGAUAAAAGGUACUCCGGGGAUAACAGGCUGAUACCGCCCAAGAGUUCAUAUCGACGGCGGUGUUUGGCACCUCGAUGUCGGCUCAUCACAUCCUGGGGCUGAAGUAGGUCCCAAGGGUAUGGCUGUUCGCCAUUUAAAGUGGUACGCGAGCUGGGUUUAGAACGUCGUGAGACAGUUCGGUCCCUAUCUGCCGUGGGCGCUGGAGAAUUGAGGGGGGCUGCUCCUAGUACGAGAGGACCGGAGUGGACGCAUCACUGGUGUUCGGGUUGUCAUGCCAAUGGCACUGCCCGGUAGCUAAAUGCGGAAGAGAUAAGUGCUGAAAGCAUCUAAGCACGAAACUUGCCCCGAGAUGAGUUCUCCCUGAGACUUUAAGUCUCCUGAAGGAACGUUGAAGACGACGACGUUGAUAGGCCGGGUGUGUAAGCGCAGCGAUGCGUUGAGCUAACCGGUACUAAUGAACCGUGAGGCUUAACCUUACAACGCCGAAG
Molecule: ribosomal RNA, 2923 nt
Filed under: Klebsiella pneumoniae
Lineage: Bacteria; Pseudomonadati; Pseudomonadota; Gammaproteobacteria; Enterobacterales; Enterobacteriaceae
Also listed under: 1 other name
Description: bacterial LSU rRNA
Rfam family: Bacterial large subunit ribosomal RNA
Source: RNAcentral